UCCGGGGCCGCCAAGCUCGAAGUAGUCGGACCCACUGGUCCACCAUGAGUAACACCACCAAUGUUUAUGGCUUUUGCUUUCAUGUUGACCUCACAGGUGGCCGUGUCAGAAGUCAUUUUAUGCAGCUAAGUCUCCUCCAGCACUGCCUGCCAGGAAAAGUCCCAUCCUUGCACAUCUAAGCACAGCAUCCUUGAGGGAUGGCUAGCUAGGAAGAACGCAGAAAUCCCAGUCUAGCUGCAGAUGCUACUACUCACUCAGCUCCUACCUAUUGCUUGUCACCCAUCAUUCACAGAGCACUUUACCAAGUUCCAGUUAAUCACACGAAGCACAGGGAGUGUGGCUUUUAAACAGAAGAAUGUGCCUGGU
This is a long non-coding RNA of Alligator mississippiensis (American alligator), 366 nucleotides long. RefSeq lists it as uncharacterized. Lineage: Eukaryota; Metazoa; Chordata; Crocodylia; Alligatoridae. The transcript is spliced from 3 exons. The record is from RefSeq and is a predicted model, not a curated record.